GAUGAACGCUGGCGGCGUGCCUAAUACAUGCAAGUCGAGCGAACAGACGAGGAGCUUGCUCCUCUGACGUUAGCGGCGGACGGGUGAGUAACACGUGGAUAACCUACCUAUAAGACUGGGAUAACUUCGGGAAACCGGAGCUAAUACCGGAUAAUAUAUUGAACCGCAUGGUUCAAUAGUGAAAGACGGUUUUGCUGUCACUUAUAGAUGGAUCCGCGCCGCAUUAGCUAGUUGGUAAGGUAACGGCUUACCAAGGCAACGAUGCGUAGCCGACCUGAGAGGGUGAUCGGCCACACUGGAACUGAGACACGGUCCAGACUCCUACGGGAGGCAGCAGUAGGGAAUCUUCCGCAACGGGCGAAGGCCUGACGGAGCAACGCCGCGUGAGUGAUGAAGGUCUUCGGAUCGUAAAACUCUGUUAUUAGGGAAGAACAAAUGUGUAAGUAACUAUGCACGUCUUGACGGUACCUAAUCAGAAAGCCACGGCUAACUACGUG
This 497-nucleotide ribosomal RNA is filed under the name uncultured bacterium. Its description in RNAcentral is "partial 16S ribosomal RNA". It matches the Rfam family "Bacterial small subunit ribosomal RNA", at positions 28 to 507 of the family's 1533-position model. The record is from RNAcentral.